This is a long non-coding RNA of Dicentrarchus labrax (European seabass), 1129 nucleotides long. RefSeq lists it as uncharacterized. NCBI's taxonomy places the organism in Eukaryota, Metazoa, Chordata, Actinopteri, Moronidae. The transcript is spliced from 3 exons. The record is from RefSeq and is a predicted model, not a curated record.
CAGGCCCUGUGGCUGGUGUUAAUUGAGAUAAUUGUGUGGUAUGAGGCUGAGCCACCGCUAUGCCUGUCCAGUUAUUCCUAUCAUGGGGUAACAGGGUGGCACACAGAUUCCACAGAGAUUUUACAGGGAGCAGAGGGCUGGAAAUGUAUCCCGGCACAUCACAGUGGCUGUAAUCCCCGGAGGACUUCCAAGUUGCUGGAUACGGACAACUCAAACUGGACAAGAAAGGGAAGAGAGAAGGGGGAUGGCACACAGCACAGGGCCACAAGCCGGCCUUGAACCGAUGGCCACUGCAGCAAGGACUCAGCCUUGGUACAUGCAGCACCAGCUCUACCAGGAUUCCCGCCACUUCAGUCUCCAAUCUCGUUUCACGGCAACUGGCUCUCAACAAGGGGCUCUGAUGGUGGCGUUGGAGGAGGAGGAGGAGGAGGAGGUGAAGGAGGCGUUCAGGGUUGAGAGGAAUUGUUCCUUGAGAACAGAGAAUAUCUACAUUACAUGAGGACAGAAUGUUCUGAAAGUAAGGAGGAACACGUGAAGAUUGAACUAUUCAUGUUCAUUGUGUGUGUGUGUGUGUGUGUUUGUGUGGGAGGGUGGGUCCCCUGUCAGUCAGAUCAAGUAGGUGGCAAUUUUCUGUGUGUGUAAGAGGGAGAGAGAUUGCACAGGCCUGUGUGAUUUUGUGACAGUUUUAGUCAGCUAAACAUACCAAAUCUGUGUCAAGUGUGUCAACGUACUGCAUACAGCUCCCACAGGUUUAUGACACUGCAGGUGGGAAAGCCUUCAGAUUACUUCAGUUGUGAUUUAUUCUGUGUAAUGUCCUCUGUAAAGUACACUGACAAGAUUGUUUUACACCUGAUUGCGCUGGAUGGGAUUCCUGACAUUAUUUGCAGAGCUGUACGUCCCACAGUACAAUAAAAGGUUAUUGAUACAAUAUGGAUUUUUCAGUGAGUGUUUCGUAUAAAGGAAUUGAUUUAUUCAGUUUGCCCUUCUGCAGGAAGGUCAUUAUUAAACAAAAAACACCAUAAUCAUCUAAUAUCCAAUGAAACACAGAUGCACAUACGCUUCAUAAAACAUUGAUUAUUUGACAGCUAAAUGGGCCUUUUAUAGCUCUCUCCCGCUGCAUUUUGAUAAG